This 491-nucleotide ribosomal RNA is filed under the name uncultured bacterium. RNAcentral's name for it is "partial 16S ribosomal RNA". It matches the Rfam family "Bacterial small subunit ribosomal RNA", at positions 29 to 507 of the family's 1533-position model. The record is from RNAcentral.
AGUGAACGCUGGCGGUAGGCCUAACACAUGCAAGUCGAACGGCAGCACAGUAAGAGCUUGCUCUUACGGGUGGCGAGUGGCGGACGGGUGAGGAAUACAUCGGAAUCUACUUUUUCGUGGGGAUAACGUAGGGAAACUUACGCUAAUACCGCAUACGACCUACGGGUGAAAGCAGGGGAUCUUCGGACCUUGCGCGAUUGAAUGAGCCGAUGUCGGAUUAGCUAGUUGGCGGGGUAAAGGCCCACCAAGGCGACGAUCCGUAGCUGGUCUGAGAGGAUGAUCAGCCACACUGGAACUGAGACACGGUCCAGACUCCUACGGGAGGCAGCAGUGGGGAAUAUUGGACAAUGGGCGCAAGCCUGAUCCAGCCAUACCGCGUGGGUGAAGAAGGCCUUCGGGUCGUAAAGCCCUUUUGUUGGGAAAGAAAAGCAGCAGGUUAAUACCCCGCUGUUCUGACGGUACCCAAAGAAUAAGCACCGGCUAACUUCGUG